UACGGGAGGCAGCAGUGGGGAAUAUUGCACAAUGGGCGCAAGCCUGAUGCAGCCACGCCGCGUGUAUGAAGAAGGCCUUCGGGUUGUAAAGUACUUUCAGUCGUGAGGAAGGUGUUAAGGUUAAUAACCUUAGCAAUUGACGUUAGCGACAGAAGAAGCACCGGCUAACUCCGUGCCAGCAGCCGCGGUAAUACGGAGGGUGCGAGCGUUAAUCGGAAUUACUGGGCGUAAAGGGCACGCAGGCGGUUAAUUAAGUUGGAUGUGAAAUCCCCGGGCUUAACCUGGGAAUGGCAUUCAAGACUGGUUAGCUAGAGUCUUGUAGAGGGGGGUAGAAUUCCAUGUGUAGCGGUGAAAUGCGUAGAGAUGUGGAGGAAUACCGGUGGCGAAGGCGGCCCCUGGACAAAGACUGACGCUCAUGUGCGAAAGCUGGGGAGCAAACAGGGAUUAGAUACC
This 453-nucleotide ribosomal RNA is filed under the name uncultured bacterium. RNAcentral describes it as "bacterial SSU rRNA". It matches the Rfam family "Bacterial small subunit ribosomal RNA", at positions 340 to 786 of the family's 1533-position model. The record is from RNAcentral.